CCUACGGGAGGCAGCAGUGAGGAAUAUUGGUCAAUGGGCGGGAGCCUGAACCAGCCAAGUAGCGUGAAGGAUGACAGCCCUAUGGGUUGUAAACCUCUUUUAUAAGGGAAUAAAGUGCCCCACGGGGGGUGAUUUGUAUGUACCUUAUGAAUAAGCAUCGGCUAAUUCCGUGCCAGCAGCCGCGGUAAUACGGAAGAUGCGAGCGUUAUCCGGAUUUAUUGGGUUUAAAGGGUGCGUAGGCGGAUCCAUAAGUCAGCGGUAAAAUCGUGGGGCUCAACCCUACCGUGCCGUUGAAACUGUUGACCUUGAGUAUGCGAAGGGUACAUGGAAUGCGUGGUGUAGCGGUGAAAUGCAUAGAUAUCACGCAGAACUCCGAUCGCGAAGGCAUUGUACCGGAGCAAGACUGACGCUGAGGCUCGAAAGUGUGGGUAUCGAACAGGAUUAGAUACCCGUGUAGUC
Molecule: ribosomal RNA, 459 nt
Filed under: uncultured bacterium
Lineage: Bacteria
Description: partial 16S ribosomal RNA
Rfam family: Bacterial small subunit ribosomal RNA
Source: RNAcentral